UACGAAGGGGGGCUAGCGUUGCUCGGAAUUACUGGGCGUAAAGGGCGCGUAGGCGGAUAGUUUAGUCAGAGGUGAAAGCCCAGGGCUCAACCUUGGAACUGCCUUUGAUACUGGCUAUCUUGAGUUCGGGAGAGGUGAGCGGAAUGCCGAGUGUAGAGGUGAAAUUCGUAGAUAUUCGGCGGAACACCGGUGGCGAAGGCGGCUCACUGGCCCGAUACUGACGCUGAGGCGCGAAAGCGUGGGGAGCAAACAGG
This 254-nucleotide ribosomal RNA is filed under the name uncultured bacterium. RNAcentral describes it as "partial 16S ribosomal RNA". It matches the Rfam family "Bacterial small subunit ribosomal RNA", at positions 524 to 776 of the family's 1533-position model. The record is from RNAcentral.